GACGAACGCUGGCGGCGUGCUUAACACAUGCAAGUCGAACGGAAAGGCCCUGCUUUUGUGGGGUGCUCGAGUGGCGAACGGGUGUGUAACACGCGAGUAACCUGCCCUUGACUUUGGGAUAACUUCAGGAAACUGGGGCUAAUACCGGAUAGGAUCUCCUGCUGCAUGGUGGGGGUUGGAAAGUGUCGGCGGUUGGGGAUGGACUCGCGGCUUAUCAGCUUGUUGGUGGGGUAGUGGCUUACCCAGGCUUUGACGGGUAGCCGGCCUGAGAGGGUGACCGGCCACAUUGGGACUGAGAGACGGCCCAGAAUCCUACGGGCAGCAGCAGUGGGGAGUAUUGCGAAAUGGGGGGAAGCCGGAUGCAGCAGCGCCGCGAGCGGGAUAACGGCCUUCGGGUUGUAAACAGCUUUCGACGGUGACGAAGCGUGCGUGACGGUAAUGGGUAAAAAAGCACCGGCUAACUACGUG
RNAcentral lists this ribosomal RNA (468 nucleotides) under uncultured bacterium. RNAcentral describes it as "partial 16S ribosomal RNA". It matches the Rfam family "Bacterial small subunit ribosomal RNA", at positions 28 to 507 of the family's 1533-position model. The record is from RNAcentral.